Molecule: ribosomal RNA, 480 nt
Filed under: uncultured bacterium
Lineage: Bacteria
Description: partial 16S ribosomal RNA
Rfam family: Bacterial small subunit ribosomal RNA
Source: RNAcentral
AGUGAACGCUGGCGGCGUGCUUAACACAUGCAAGUCGAACGGUAGCAGAUAGAAGCUUGCUUCUAUGCUGACGAGUGGCGCACGGGAGUAAUGUAUAGCUAACGUGCCCCUUAGAGGGGGAUAACAGUUGGAAACGACUGCUAAUACCCCAUACUCCUUUUAUAUUAAUUAUAGAUGGGAAAUGUUUUUUCGCUAAGGGAUCGGGCUAUAUGGUAUCAGCUAGUUGGUGAGGUAAUGGCUCACCAAGGCAAUGACACCUAGCUGGUCUGAGAGGAUGAUCAGCCACACUGGAACUGAGACACGGUCCAGACUCCUACGGGAGGCAGCAGUGGGGAAUAUUGCACAAUGGACGCAAGUCUGAUGCAGCAACGCCGCGUGGAGGAUGACACAUUUCGGUGCGUAAACUCCUUUUAUAUAGGAAGAUAAUGACGGUACUAUAUGAAUAAGCACCGGCUAACUCCGUGCCAGCCGCCGCAGUAA